UGAGUAACGCGUGGGAAUCUGCCUCUUACUGGGGGAUAACAGUGGGAAACUACUGCUAAUACCGCAUAAGAUCUUCGGAUGAAAGGUGCAACUGCACCGGUAAGAGAUGAGCCCGCGUCCCAUUAGCUAGUUGGUGAGGUAAAGGCUCACCAAGGCGACGAUGGGUAGCCGGCCUGAGAGGGUGAACGGCCACACUGGGACUGAGACACGGCCCAGACUCCUACGGGAGGCAGCAGUAGGGAAUCUUCCGCAAUGGGCGCAAGCCUGACGGAGCGACGCCGCGUGAGUGAUGAAGGCCUUCGGGUCGUAAAGCUCUGUUCUUGAGGACGAAUAAGCCAGGGAGUGGAAAGCCCUGGUGAUGACUGUACUCAAGGAGAAAGCUCCGGCUAACUACGUGCCAGCAGCCGCGGUAAUACGUAGGGAGCUAGCGUUGUCCGGAAUUACUGGGUGUAAAGGGCGCGCAGGCGGUUUCAUAAGUCAGGUGUGAA
This 488-nucleotide ribosomal RNA is filed under the name uncultured bacterium. RNAcentral's name for it is "bacterial SSU rRNA". It matches the Rfam family "Bacterial small subunit ribosomal RNA", at positions 107 to 598 of the family's 1533-position model. The record is from RNAcentral.